GAAGGCGGGGGACCCGGGACUUCCAAGUGUCCAAAAACAAUCCAUUGAUACACUUGGUGACAUUAAUUGAGAAAAAAACAAUAUGGUCUGGCCAUGGAGGCAUGGUAUCCGUAACAUCCCCCAAAGGAGCUAAAGAAGAAAUCCACAAUUUACCAUGAGCAUUUCUCGUCUGAAGAUUGCCAAGCGAUUCCUCCAGGACAUUCCUCAAGAUCAAUUUCUGUUCAUCCACCUUGUCCUGGGAGGGACAUCAAUGGGUUUCCAUGUCCUUUGGCUUCUGGUUGAGUUCACUCAGUGGAGAACCCUGGCAAGAGGCAGGAAAAGGGGAGGAAGUGUGAGAAAUGGAAAGGAGGUCACUAAGAGACUUGCAAUGGAUGUAAUAACUGGAUGCAGAAACUCUGGAUCUGAAGGGAAUGUUCAUGACUAUUUCAUCCCUCCUGCUGCCUUGGAGAACCAAACGCAGGAGCCACCCAAGGUGAAAACCAUCCAUUUCUUGGAGAAGUGCCACGGUGGGGUUGCAAGUCCCAGGAUCAAGUUUUCGAUGUGUCUCUUUUUCCCGUAAAGUGGCUGAAAUCUGAAGCUGAAUCUGCAAGUGUCAUGGAGUCAUUGAAUCUCACAGUCUCAACUGAUAAAAGUUAUUAAAGGUCGUCUGGUUCAGCCUUCUACUUGAUGUGGAAAUCCUUUCUACAGUAACUCUGUGUGGGAAUCACAGUUCACUUAGGGGCUUAGUCUCAUAGUCAAAAUGUCUUCUUCCUAAGUGGGAAAUUACUUCCAGCUUCUAUUCAUUCAGUAGUUGUUUAAUACUAUCUCUCUCUCUCUCUAUAUAUAUAUGUAUUAUAUAUA
Molecule: long non-coding RNA, 840 nt
Filed under: Homo sapiens (human)
Lineage: Eukaryota; Metazoa; Chordata; Mammalia; Primates; Hominidae
Description: non-protein coding lnc-SLC39A11-10:12
Source: RNAcentral